UUGCUGACGAGUGGCGGACGGGUGAGUAAUGCUUGGGAAUCUGGCUUAUGGAGGGGGAUAACUACUGGAAACGGUAGCUAAUACCGCGUAAUGUCUGCGGACUAAAGGGGGCGAAAGCUCUUGCCAUAAGAUGAGCCCAAGUGGGAUUAGGUAGUUGGUGAGGUAACGGCUCACCAAGCCGUCGAUCUCUAGCUGGUCUGAGAGGAUGACCAGCCACACUGGAACUGAGACACGGUCCAGACUCCUACGGGAGGCAGCAGUGGGGAAUAUUGCACAAUGGGGGAAACCCUGAUGCAGCCAUGCCGCGUGAAUGAAGAAGGCCUUCGGGUUGUAAAGUUCUUUCGGUGAUGAGGAAGGUGUAAUGGUUAAUACCCGUUACAAUUGACGUUAGUCACAGAAGAAGCACCGGCUAACUCCGUGCCAGCAGCCGCGGUAAUACGGAGGGUGCGAGCGUUAAUCGGAAUAACUGGGCGUAAAGGGCACGCAGGCGGUUGUUUAAGUGAGGUGUGAAAGCCCUGGGCUCAACCUGGGAAUUGCAUUUCAGACUGGACAACUAGAGUACUUUAGGGAGGGGUAGAAUUCCACGUGUAGCGGUGAAAUGCGUAGAGAUGUGGAGGAAUACCGAAGGCGAAGGCAGCCCCUUNNNNNNNU
This 651-nucleotide ribosomal RNA is filed under the name Muribacter muris. RNAcentral's name for it is "bacterial SSU rRNA". It matches the Rfam family "Bacterial small subunit ribosomal RNA", at positions 85 to 738 of the family's 1533-position model. The record is from RNAcentral. Lineage: Bacteria; Pseudomonadati; Pseudomonadota; Gammaproteobacteria; Pasteurellales; Pasteurellaceae.